RNAcentral lists this ribosomal RNA (345 nucleotides) under Monapia alupuran. RNAcentral describes it as "partial 16S ribosomal RNA". The record is from RNAcentral. Lineage: Eukaryota; Metazoa; Arthropoda; Arachnida; Araneae; Anyphaenidae.
UUGUGCUAAGGUAGCAUAAUCAUUUGUCUUUUAAUUGAAGACUAGAACAAAAGAUUGAACAAUUUAAUUAAUAUAUAAAAAUUAAUAUAUUAAACUUAUUUUAAAAGUAAAAAAACUUUUAUAUUAAAGGAAGACGACAAGACCCUAUUAAACUUAACUUUAGUUUAACUGGGGCAGUUAAUCAAUUAUUAUUUUAAUAAAAAUAUAAAAACAAAAGAUCCAGUAAAAUUGAUUAAAUGAUCAAGUUACUAUAGGGAUAACAGCGUAAUAUUAAUCUAAAGAUCUUAUUUAAAUAAAAGUUUGCGACCUCGAUGUUGAAUUAAUAACCUAAAUUAUUGCAGUAAA